Molecule: ribosomal RNA, 253 nt
Filed under: uncultured Lysobacteraceae bacterium
Lineage: Bacteria; Pseudomonadati; Pseudomonadota; Gammaproteobacteria; Lysobacterales; Lysobacteraceae
Description: uncultured Xanthomonadaceae bacterium partial 16S ribosomal RNA
Rfam family: Bacterial small subunit ribosomal RNA
Source: RNAcentral
UACGAAGGGUGCAAGCGUUACUCGGAAUUACUGGGCGUAAAGCGUGCGUAGGCGGUUUGUUAAGUCUGAUGUGAAAGCCCCGGGCUCAACCUGGGAAUGGCAUUGGAUACUGGCAACCUGGAGUGUGGUAGAGGGUGGCGGAAUUCCCGGUGUAGCAGUGAAAUGCGUAGAUAUCGGGAGGAACAUCCGUGGCGAAGGCGGCCACCUGGACCAACACUGACGCUGAGGCACGAAAGCGUGGGGAGCAAACAGG